This 497-nucleotide ribosomal RNA is filed under the name uncultured bacterium. RNAcentral's name for it is "partial 16S ribosomal RNA". It matches the Rfam family "Bacterial small subunit ribosomal RNA", at positions 28 to 507 of the family's 1533-position model. The record is from RNAcentral.
GAUGAACGCUGGCGGCGUGCCUAAUACAUGCAAGUCGAGCGAACAGACGAGGAUCUUGCUCCUCUCACGUUAGCGGCGGACGGGUGAGUAACACGUGGCUAACCUACCUAUAAGACUGGGCUAACUUCGGGAAACCGGAGCUAAUACCGGAUAACCUUUUGGACCGCAUGGUUCAAGAGUGAAAGACGGUUUUGCUGUCACUUAUCGAUGGAUCCGCGCCGCAUUGGCGGGGUGGUAAGGUAACGGCUUACCAAGGCAGCGAUGCGUAGCCGACCGUAGAGGGGGAUCGCCCACUGUGGAGCUGAGCCGCGGCCCAGAGUCCUAGGGGAGGCAGCAGCAGCGAAUCGUCGGCGAUGGGGGAAAGCCUGACGGAGGAGCGCCGCGCGAGUGAAGAAGGUCUGCGGAUCGUAAGACGGUGUUAGGAGUGAAAACCGAAUGUGUAAGUAACGAUGCUCUGCGUGACGGUAGUGAGUCAGAAAGCAACGGCUAACUACGUG